RNAcentral lists this ribosomal RNA (400 nucleotides) under phytoplankton environmental sample. Its description in RNAcentral is "partial small subunit ribosomal RNA". It matches the Rfam family "Eukaryotic small subunit ribosomal RNA", at positions 587 to 983 of the family's 1831-position model. The record is from RNAcentral.
AGCUCCAGUAGCGUAUAUUAAAGUUGUUGCAGUUAAAAAGCUCGUAGUUGGAUUUCUGGAUUGGCGCGCUUGGCCGGCCACGGUUACGUGUGUCAGUGCCGGGACGCGCCUUCCUUCCUUCUAGAGAACGGGUCUACCCUUCACUGGGACGGACUCGCAAUCUAGAUCGUUUACUUUGAAAAAAUUAGAGUGUUUAAAGCAGGCUUGUGCUAUGAAUACAUUAGCAUGGAAUAAUAAUUUAGGACUUGGGUCCUAUUUUGUUGGUUUCUAGGACCGGAGUAAUGAUUGAUAGGGAUAGUUGGGGGUGCUAGUAUUCAGCGGCCAGAGGUGAAAUUCUUGGAUUCGCUGAAGACUAACUUAUGCGAAAGCAUUCACCAAGGAUGUCUUCUUUAAUCAAGAA